This 497-nucleotide ribosomal RNA is filed under the name uncultured bacterium. RNAcentral describes it as "partial 16S ribosomal RNA". It matches the Rfam family "Bacterial small subunit ribosomal RNA", at positions 28 to 507 of the family's 1533-position model. The record is from RNAcentral.
GAUGAACGCUGGCGGCGUGCCUAAUACAUGCAAGUCGAGCGAACGGACGAGAAGCUUGCUUCUCUGAUGUUAGCGGCGGACGGGUGAGUAACACGUGGAUAACCUACCUAUAAGACUGGGAUAACUUCGGGAAACCGGAGCUAAUACCGGAUAAUAUUUUGAACCGCAUGGUUCAAAAGUGAAAGACGGUCUUGCUGUCACUUAUAGAUGGAUCCGCGCUGCAUUAGCUAGUUGGUAAGGUAACGGCUUACCAAGGCAACGAUGCAUAGCCGACCUGAGAGGGGGAUCGGCCACAUUGGAACUGAGACACGGUCCAGACUCCUACGGGAGGCAGCAGUAGGGAAUCUUCCGCAAUGGGCGAAAGCCUGACGGAGCAACGCCGCGUGAGUGAUGAAGGUCUUCGGAUCGUAAAACUCUGUUAUUAGGGAAGAACAUAUGUGUAAGUAACUGUGCACAUCUUGACGGUACCUAAUCAGAAAGCCACGGCUAACUACGUG